CUCCCAUUUGCUGUAAAAUAAUACCCUAAGCAACAAAUUAGGCACUUCAGUUAGGAGCCUAAAAUAACUGAGAUGAAAAGGGGCACUAGCAGGGAGGCUCAAUUCUGCCCUGCUAGAAUGGAGCUGACCACUUUCUCAACAGAUGGCAAAUACUGGGACUGUAAUCAUUUCGCAAGCAGAGUAUAAGGGGAUGUCUUCUGACACCAUUUCACCUUCUCAGCUGCACAAACAUAAAACUAGAAAGAGAUGGAAACAGCAAGGACUUAUAACUAGCAAGCUUCUACAAUACCCAUAACUACAAUGAAAGUACAACCACAAGAACAAUCCCUCCGGCUGGAAAAAUGCCAAGUGUGAUUUGGACAGAGUUCAACACUUCU
Chiroxiphia lanceolata (lance-tailed manakin) is the source of this 377-nucleotide long non-coding RNA. RefSeq lists it as uncharacterized. The record is from RefSeq and is a predicted model, not a curated record. NCBI's taxonomy places the organism in Eukaryota, Metazoa, Chordata, Aves, Passeriformes, Pipridae. The transcript has 3 exons.